Molecule: long non-coding RNA, 355 nt
Organism: Paramormyrops kingsleyae
Lineage: Eukaryota; Metazoa; Chordata; Actinopteri; Osteoglossiformes; Mormyridae
Source: RefSeq, a predicted model, not a curated record
AGGCAGAAAUGGAAGACGGCAUUUAUCUGUAGAACCCCCUGAAUCAGAUGGAUACACAGCAAUCAAUAGAAGGAAAGUGCCCUGUUUGCCAAAAGGAACCCAACAGUGGAACUGGAACUACAUGCAAGUGUCUGUGGGGACUGGGAGAGUAACCUGGAAAGCUCCGUUCCGCCCUGCUUGUCCUGUCCAAUUCUCCCACCAGCCCAUCUCUACCUCCCUCCUGCCCUUCCUCCCCUCGCUCUUCCUCCUUGUGAGUUCCCCGUGUGCCCUGUCUGUGUGUCUGGAUGGAUUCUCCAGUAAUCAACCCUCUCCCGGAUCCUGACCCAGUGCCUGCCGUUUCUUCUUGAUCUCCUGG